Bombina bombina (fire-bellied toad) is the source of this 348-nucleotide long non-coding RNA. RefSeq lists it as uncharacterized. The transcript has 3 exons. The record is from RefSeq and is a predicted model, not a curated record. Lineage: Eukaryota; Metazoa; Chordata; Amphibia; Anura; Bombinatoridae.
UUUCCGAAGAAUACCAUACACCAAGAUCUACAAAUUAUAUGUUUCAUACAAGAGCUUUCUAGUGGAAAAAAUAUCAGUACAACACAUUCAAUUGCCAAACCACUUGGUGAAGCAGGUCGUACUAUAAAACCUCCGGAGGUUAAUACGGUCAUUUAUUCAACUUUAAGACAGAACUAAAUGGAUGAAACUACAAAAGAACGACUGAAGAUCAUGGGAGCAAAUACAGAUACUUUAGACAUUAAUAAAUUAUUGUUAAGAGACAUAAAGCUUAGUACAUUAUUGUUAAGAGACAUAUAACUUCAGAUAAUAUUGAUUCACAAUUUAAAUAAAAGUAGUGUUCAUUGCAAA